AACUUUAUUGUGUUGCUCACAGCAUGAGGCAUAUUCACAGACAGCGAUGGUGGGAUGGUGGGCCCAGGCUCUGGUCUCCAGCCCUUAUUCUACUACCUGAAGCACGAUGGGGACUAACAUCUCAGCCACUGAGAUCCUGGAUAGAAAAUCUUAAAACAAACUGAACCAGGGUUGUGAAAGGGUGGCACAAUAUGGAAUAAGAACAAGCUACAGGUGAAUUUCUAGAAUUCUGUCCAGAAAGCUUGACAUAGGCAGUGACAUUCUUCUUACAUAUAUACGGCCUUUGAGGCCCAAAUGAAACACAAAAGGAGCCAGGUCAGACAAUUUCUUUCCAGUAAUUCCUGAAAUACAACAAAGGCAGGGGAAACCCAUAAGUGAUAGAAUCCAGUUUUCCCAAAGCAGCGAAACUGAUUUGACUUUCUGGGUUUGAUUCACUGCUCCCCAACUUGCUGAAU
This 455-nucleotide long non-coding RNA is filed under the name Pan troglodytes (chimpanzee). Its description in RNAcentral is "long non-coding RNA NONPTRT006757". Lineage: Eukaryota; Metazoa; Chordata; Mammalia; Primates; Hominidae. The record is from RNAcentral.